Molecule: unclassified non-coding RNA, 231 nt
Filed under: Hevea brasiliensis (rubber tree)
Lineage: Eukaryota; Viridiplantae; Streptophyta; Magnoliopsida; Malpighiales; Euphorbiaceae
Source: RNAcentral
GAAGAGUAAUGAGGAUAUAAUUAUGGACUCAAGCAAGUUGGAUGAACAAGUAUUCAAUCUCUGAGGAUGCAGCCAUCUUCAAACAGGCUUGAGAUCUCUUCUGUGAGAUAUGUGCAUGGAGACAGAAAGACGCUUACGUGGCCACCGAGGACAAUGAAGUAGACGGCUUGAGAAGUAUGGCAUUUCAGGUAUUGGUUAGAAACCCAUUUAAGCAAGCAAAAUCAGUUGUUU